UACGUAGGGUGCAAGCGUUGUCCGGAAUUAUUGGGCGUAAAGAGCUCGUAGGCGGUUUGUCGCGUCGAAUGUGAAAACUCGGGGCUUAACCCCGAGCCUGCAGUGGAUACGGGCAGACUAGAGGUAGGUAGGGGAGAAUGGAAUUCCCGGUGUAGCGGUGAAAUGCGCAGAUAUCAGGAGGAACACCGGUGGCGAAGGCGGUUCUCUGGGCCUUACCUGACGCUGAGGAGCGAAAGCGUGGGGAGCAAACAGG
This 253-nucleotide ribosomal RNA is filed under the name uncultured bacterium. Its description in RNAcentral is "partial 16S ribosomal RNA". It matches the Rfam family "Bacterial small subunit ribosomal RNA", at positions 524 to 776 of the family's 1533-position model. The record is from RNAcentral.